This is a long non-coding RNA of Sapajus apella (tufted capuchin), 3641 nucleotides long. RefSeq lists it as uncharacterized. The record is from RefSeq and is a predicted model, not a curated record. Lineage: Eukaryota; Metazoa; Chordata; Mammalia; Primates; Cebidae. The transcript has 2 exons.
CUCCCAAAGUGCUAAGAUUACAAACAUGAGCCACUGUGCCCAGCCAUAUUUUAUUUUUAAAAGGAGUCUUAAAUAGAGACACAUAUUGAUUGUGUGCCUAGUGUAAGGAAUUAUAUCACCCCUCUGUUCAGUUCAAUGUACUGCAACAAGUAUGUAUGCACUACUUUACUUGUAAUAGUAAUUCUUUAUAUUAAUAUAUGUACCACAGUUUGCAAAAGUCAUUUGCUUUUCUCAACAUUCCUUUGAGGGAGGUAGUACUAUUCUUAUUGGUUGGAUGAAGAGACUGAGGAUAAGAGAGGUUAAGUGCCUUGAGGAGUUGGUGGUUUGGACUCCAAGUCUAACUUUCAUUCCACCAGACCAUGCUGGGAACAGAAGAAAGGAGAAAUACCCUACAUUCCUAUGCCUCUUUAAGCUUACAAUGUAGUUGAUGAGACAAGCCCCCAAACCAUUAGACACCCAGAUAAAAAUACUUAGCCUAAGGAGGAGACAUGGCCGUCUUCAUCAGUCCCUAAGCACUCUCCAUUUUGCCAGUUUGAACUACUUCUCCCUGUUGCCUUACUUGGUCUUCUUUAGGCAUGUAUGGUACCUGCCCAGACUCUGAAGGCCUUUGAAGGAGAGCUCCUGAUAAGAUAUAGGGAAGAAUUGGCUGAGUUCUGGUCCCUGGAGUUUUAAAUUGUAGGCGAGGCAGAAAUUGUGCAUUUUACCUGCAAUGGAGACUUUGCACUGACAGCCCUGGACAAUAAAAAGGAUGGCAGGAUGGCUUUCCUGCAGGCAAAUCUUUCAGGGAUCCAGACUGGUGAUGCUCUAGCACCUUCAACCUGUGGCUUCCAGACUUUCCCCAGGAGGUGUCUCCAUUGCAGCCAUCCAGGAGGCAGAUGAAACAUGGAGAAAUGUGCAUGGCCAGGUAUGGACGUGUUGCCCCUCACUUCUGCUCACAUUCUACUGCUAGAACAGAGUCACACACCGUCCCUAAGUGCAAGCAAGGGUGGGGAAUGAGGGCUAGUUACACACGGAGGACGAAAAGGAGAAUGUGGGUGCUGGUCUUUGCUAUAGUAUCUGUACUUUUGCUCAUGGAAAAAUUUAUUUCAAAGUUCCGUUUUACCAACCAGUGAGAAUCAAUUGUGUGUUCAGAAGUAGCUCUGGGAUCACCACAAACCUCUACUAAUAUGAAUCAAAUGUCACAGAGUUGAUUUGGCUUUUCAGAAGAUUGGCAAAUCUCCAUUGGAGGAAUGAGUAGGGGUGACCUCUGUGGAACUGGGCAAACUGGUUCAGACCAUUUCCUGGCCUGAGCCUGUGAGUCAGUCCUCCCAAGUGUCUGAAAAGCCCAUGUGCACUGCAUUCUCAUGUGAUUGGGGGAAAUUCUGGUCUUAUCUUCACAAAUAAAAAUAAUUAUUCUGCUAAAAUCGCCCACUUGUUAUCUGGAAAGACAGCAGGAAUCCCUUAGUAGGAAGGACCCCAGGAACCCUGCUACAAAUACGGGCCAAUAAAUGGGCAAAGGUAGGGAGACUUUCAUCUUUUGGAGAAACUAAUACAUAGGGCAUCAGCUGAGUUUCCAUUUCAGUGCAACUUAAGCCUGAGUGAUAAAGGCAGCAGUGUUCUGUGAACCUUAUAUUACAUAACCCUCAUGUGAUUCAGGGCUGCUAUUUAUAGUUUCCCAUUGUGUGGGGCUCUGGACUGGGUUACAGGGAUGCAGCUUCCUUCUGCAGUAUCCCAGGAGGAGAUCCAAAUGACUGCAGUGUACCCAGCGUUCACCUGGCUUAGGUCUUUCAUGACUGUUUCUGUUUUAUUGUCUAUCUUAAGUUUUGGCUUCUACCUUUCCCUUACACUUGGUUGUUCAUUCAUUCAUUUAUUGAUUCAUUCAACAAAUACGUAGUGCCUGCUAGGCACUGAGGAUAAACAGUUGAGUAAAACACUCCUUGGGUGGAGGUAGGGAAUAGAAAAAUACUGACUCCUAGACCCCCAUCCAAGACCAAUGAAAACAGUGUCUGGGUGGUGAGCUCUGGGCAUAAGUGUGAUUUAAAAUCUCCCUAAGAGAGUCCAGUGCAUCGCCAGGAUGGAGAACCGUUAGAUUUGUAGAUCCUGAAGCCAGAGGAAUGUAUGAAAUUUAAUAUUCCAGGGAGGAAGACUAAGAUGAUAAAUAGAGAGUUCUAAGUAGGUGUCAAAAAAACAGUAGAGGGGGGAUUGGGAAUUGCUUGAUACAGAGAAAGAAAUACAAUUUUAUGGUCAGAUCAAUAUGUAGUGGAAUUUCAACCUUUCUAUCUUUUUCAACCUUUAUAGCUUUGUGUGAUUCUGGAAAAGUCAUUUAAACUCUUUGAGCCUUUGCUUUUUCAUUUAAAAAUGUGGGUAAUUAGAAUCUUCACAACCUAGGAUUGCGGCGAGCAUCUAAGCAGAGUCUGGUGGACAACAAAUCUCAGUUGUUUUUGUUAUUAUUUGGAGUUCAGGAGGAGAGAUCAAGAACAGAAAGCUGGACAAUUUAAAGGUGAUUUUGAGUCCUAAGGGAUCCUCUCUUGCUUCCAAAGUUGGGGAGAAGUCCAUUAUCAUUUUUAUCUUAAAACUCACACAAAAAUGUUGUUAAUUAGAGUACCAAUUAAUUAGGAUAAAAAGAAAACUUCAGGUGUUUUUGAAAGGUCCUUUUUUUGGAGGACAUGUCAGAAAGUGCUCAGGCCUCCCUGGGGGCCUUUCACUGUUUUCUGCUGUUAGGCAAACCUUAGCAGGCAGGUGGAGAGGUUAGACUUGAGCAUUAUAAAAGGUCUCACCAUUCUGAGUGGGUGAAAGCAGCAGACCCUGUGUGGUUGAGCCAUUCAGACACCAAUCUCUCUGGGUAUUUAACUAACCAUUGUUAGCACUGGUUUUAGUGAUCGACUGUCCAUACAUAAGCAGAAAUGUAUAUUCAAUAUAUUCCCCUUUUUUCACUUAUAACACAGUCUUAAGCCCUGGUUUUGUUUUGUUUUUUACCUUGACAAUAACUUGGCGAUUAUUUCUAUCAAUCCAUAAAGAGCUUCUUCAUUUUAAAAAUAGCUACACAGUAUUCUUUAAUGUGGUUGCAUUACAAUUUAUUUAACCAAUAUUCUCUUUAUGGGUAUUUAGGAUGUUCUUAGCCUUUUGUUAUGUCAAACAUUGCUGCAGUGAUAGACUGUAUAUGUAUGUCAUUUUGUAUGCGUGAGAACCUUUUGAACUAUAAAUUCCUGGAGGUGUAAUAGCUGGGUCAAAUGGUACAUGCAUUUAUAGGUUCCCUUCACAGAGGCUUUUGUUGUAUGGGGCUCUAAACAUAAUUCCCACUUCCACCAGCAAUGUAAGAGAAUGCCUGUUUUCCUGUGCUGUCUGUCACAAAGUUUGAUUUCCACCAAUGUACUUAGUGCAAAAUGAUACCUCCCUAUAGCUGCAAUGUGCAUCUCUUUCAUUGUGAGUGAUGUUGAGCCCUUUUUCAUGUUUUAAGACUCAUUUGAGUUUUCUUUGCUGGCAAGAGUUGGUUAAUAUUCCAUGCCUAUUUUCCAACUGAGUCAUUGGUUUGUUUCUUGUUGAUUUUUGAGAAUUCUUUAUAUGUUGAGGAAAUUUAGCACUGCAUCUAUGGCAAAUAUGUUCUACCUUUCAGUUCUGUCUUUUCUCUUUUGAUCUUGAUUGUUUUGCAGGAUUUUGUAGCU